GGGACAGUGGCUUCCCUGGGCAGGCUGGAGCAAGAGGACUGCCUGGCCUCAAAGGACCUCCAGGACUCCUAGGACUCAAAGGACCCAAAGGUGAAUUGGGCGACAGAGGAGACCGAGGUCCCACGGUGCGAGGGGCCAAGGGCCAGCCAGGACCUCCCGGUCUACCAGGUGAGCCCGGAAAGCCUGGUUACGGCCAGGAGGGACGUGACGGCGAGAGAGGACCUCCAGGUGUUCCUGGCCAGGCUGGUGUACCUGGGCCUCCUGGUAAUGCUGGCCCCAAUGGCUACUGCGACCCAUCGUCCUGCAACCUCAGACCGGGGGACAUUGACACCAGCAUCAAGGGCCCGGAGGGAACUAGAAACUAGAGCCACCACCCAGUGGAGGCUGGUGUCACUUUAAAUCUGAGGACUGGAUCUAAUGGCUAUAAUGGAAUGAAUGGAAAAGUUUCAAACACCUUGGAUUCUGUUCCAUUUAUUCCAUUAGAGCCAUCAC
Long non-coding RNA from Oncorhynchus gorbuscha (pink salmon), 492 nucleotides. RefSeq lists it as uncharacterized. The record is from RefSeq and is a predicted model, not a curated record. The transcript has 3 exons. Lineage: Eukaryota; Metazoa; Chordata; Actinopteri; Salmoniformes; Salmonidae.